Anser brachyrhynchus (Pink-footed goose) is the source of this 1524-nucleotide long non-coding RNA. The record is from Ensembl. Lineage: Eukaryota; Metazoa; Chordata; Aves; Anseriformes; Anatidae.
GUAAUGAUGAGUGCUUGGUGUGAUGGGGUGCUCCGUGUCACCUGGGGCUCAGAAGCAGUAGUCAGGUGGGGAAGCACGACAGCGAGCAGAGCACAAAUUACCUUGCAGCAUGGUGUCAUGGCCCAGGAGAGCUUCUGCUUUGCUCCCACCAAGCACCUGAGCUGGCUCCAGAGCAGGCCCCUGAUGCGGGGCCAGGAAGUGCCAUGAUUGAUGAGCACGAGCGGGACGUGAAACUGGGUCAGAUGAACGGGCUGAACCCCAUGAGCUGCUGUGGCCAGGAUGCUAUCAGAAAGCCAGUGUGGGGGUGUUGACCUUGAUGGAGCCACGAUCCGUCCCUGGGUGGCAGCACAUCCCUGGCCUCAGAUAACAGGGGCAGCACAGCUCGUGAGGAGGAGCGCUUGGCGGCAAAGCAUUGGCAGGGCAGAGGGACAGCGGUGAGGGCUGCUCCCAGCCCCAAGCCCUCACCAACCAGCCCUGAGUCAUGCUCUGACAAAUGUCAAGGUUCCUCAUGAUGCCCAUCUCGGCGAGGGAGCUCUGCAGAUCACAGAAGCUCAGCAGUCCUUCCUGUCCCAGCCUCAUCGAUCCGAUGCAGCGGCUAUGGAAGAAGAGCAGGGAGGCACAGGAGAGCCUGCACAUCGCAGCAAAACUCUGGUUACCUGGUACAGAUCAGCCCCUCCUUGCUUCUGGCAAGCAGAUUUGUUGCUAUUUUGCAAACCAAACAGCAGGUCCAGCCCCUGGGGAGCUGCUGCUGGAUCACACAGCAGGUUGUCCCCGAGCCCAGCAUACCCUCCUUGCUGACCCACUGCCUCCACUGCUUGUCUGCAUCAUGGGGAAAAAGGAGACAGGACUAAAGCUUCCCCCCUACCAGUUUCCUUCAUGGCCCCUAAGGCUCACAGUCUGCUUUCUGCAAGCAGACAGGUUGUGAUUUCCUGCUAUUCUCAUGGGAACCAGGGCCUAAAGGGAAUACACCAGCUGGCGAGUGCCCAGCCCGUGGCACUUUUGUCCCCACGAGGUCUCCAGCAGCUUCAGCUCAGUGGCGGUGACUGCAAUGCACCCAGGUGGGCUUUGCAGGUCUCUUUCCUCCGCAGUGCAGUCAGCGGGGUGCAGAGCAAGUGGACAGGAUGGGGGUGGCCUGGCAGGUGGUGGGGAGAGGCACACGAGCCCCAGCUCAGCACCCCCAGGCAUGCUUUCUUUGGAUAAACUCAGUGCUGUGUGGGUCAGCCCCUUCCCUCCACCCUGCCCUGCAGCACCUGCCUGUUUGGAUGCUGGUUGGAUGCAGGUCACUUUACAGAGGUGCCAGCCAGAUGCCUUAAGACUGAGGGAAAGCCAAGACAAAGCCAAAAUAAUGCAGCUGGCUGCUUUAAUUUGCAGGAAGAGCCAGGCAGCAGCAGACUGGUUCACGGGCGAAUCUUUCCUGCUGUAUCAAGCAUAAAUUAAUCAGGUAUUCCAUUUCCUGAGGGAAGAAAAAAAAGAGCAGAAUAAUUCACUUAGAAAUAAAGACUAGAGCCAUUUUUCCCUUUGACA